UGAUUCUUGCUGCCUCCUAUAAAGCACUUUUUUUCCCCCUUCUUUGACUGGGCUGUUAAUUUCCUUUCCUUCAUUCUUACCCACUUUUGGAAACUGAACAUUUUCCAGGUCUGUUGCUGUACUUGCAACUAGCCAACUCUUUUAUGAAUUAGGCAUUCACAAAGAUGUGCAGCAGUAGUGAGCAUGGAGGCCAGGAAUGCCUGGCUUCCUGUGGCCAACUUGGCAUCUGAUAAGCUGACAUGAACAACAGUUGAUCACCAUCCUCUGUAUAACAGCCCUUAAAAUGUGAAGACUUACCAGGUGCCCCCUCAAUCUUCUUUUCUCAAGAUGAAACUUGCCCAGCUUUUUAACCUGUCCUCACAGGGGACUCCAUUUAACAGCAUCUGCCCAUGGCAAGUUACGUAACCAGCAGGCAACAUCCUGAUUGUCACAGAUGAAAUCUGUAUAACAGUUUGGAG
Gopherus flavomarginatus (Mexican gopher tortoise) is the source of this 458-nucleotide long non-coding RNA. RefSeq lists it as uncharacterized. The record is from RefSeq and is a predicted model, not a curated record. NCBI's taxonomy places the organism in Eukaryota, Metazoa, Chordata, Testudines, Testudinidae. The transcript is spliced from 4 exons.